This 77-nucleotide unclassified non-coding RNA is filed under the name Candidatus Glomeribacter gigasporarum BEG34. Lineage: Bacteria; Pseudomonadati; Pseudomonadota; Betaproteobacteria; Burkholderiales; Burkholderiaceae. The record is from RNAcentral.
AGGAGCCGUAUGAGUCGAGAGGCUCACGUACGGAGUCUGUGAGGGGCUGGAGGUGAAAUUCCUCCGGCCGACUCGGC